RNAcentral lists this small RNA (142 nucleotides) under Pseudomonas luteola. Its description in RNAcentral is "Pseudomonas sRNA P14". It matches the Rfam family "Pseudomonas sRNA P14". RNAcentral also lists the same sequence under 2 other names. Lineage: Bacteria; Pseudomonadati; Pseudomonadota; Gammaproteobacteria; Pseudomonadales; Pseudomonadaceae. The record is from RNAcentral.
UUGGACACUUUUUAAGCAACGCAAUGUCAAUUUAUCGAGCUUAUGAAAGGGAAAGUGAAAAAAACUCGCGAACCUUGCAUUCGCUCAGUUUACUUACUACACGUUAUGAGUAGUAUGUAGCGCGCAAUUUUCCGCUGGGAAA